AUGGGCAAGUACAUGCGCAAGAGCAAGGCCUCGGGGGAGGUGGCCGUCAUGGAGGUCGCCGGCGCGCUGCUCGGCGUCCGCACCCGCUCCCGCACCCUCGCCGCGCAGCAGCAGCGCGCUCCGUCCCCUUCGCCGCAGCGCAAGGGCCACGAGGACGGCGACUACCUCGAGCUCAGGAGCAGGAGGCUCGAGAAGCAGCCGCCGCCGGGGCCCAAGGACAAGGAGGACGCGCCGCAGCCGCCGGCCGCCGGUGGGAGGAGGAUGGAGCAGGCGCCGUCGUCGUUCGCCGCCGAGGGCUUCGAGGCCGACCUCGAGGUCUCCUUCGGCGACAACGUCCUGGACUGGGACGCCACCGACAGGGGCGCCAGGGAGACGACGCCGUGCAGCCUCAUCUACAGCUCGGAGACGAUGAGCACCCCCGGGUCGGCGACCGGAGGAGCCCGCAACCACUCCCGCCGCAGGGCGCAGACGCCGGUCUGCCGCUACGUGCCGAGCUCGCUGGAGAUGGACGAGUUCUUCGCCGCCGCCGAGCAGCAGCAACACCAGACCUUCAGGGACAAGUACAACUUCUGUCCUGCGAGCGGCUGCCCGCUCCCCGGGCGGUACGAGUGGACGGUGCUAGACUGCUAG
RNAcentral lists this ribosomal RNA (630 nucleotides) under Triticum aestivum (bread wheat). RNAcentral describes it as "partial small subunit ribosomal RNA". The record is from RNAcentral. Lineage: Eukaryota; Viridiplantae; Streptophyta; Magnoliopsida; Poales; Poaceae.